GUGAGUGAAGAAGGUUUUCGGAUCGUAAAACUCUGUUGUGAGGGAAGAACAAGUACCAAUUAACUACUGGUACCUUGACGGUACCUCACCAGAAAGCCACGGCUAACUACGUGCCAGCAGCCGCGGUAAUACGUAGGUGGCAAGCGUUGUCCGGAAUUAUUGGGCGUAAAGCGCGCGCAGGCGGUCCUUUAAGUCUGAUGUGAAAGCCCACGGCUCAACCGUGGAGGGUCAUUGGAAACUGGGGGACUUGAGUGCAGAAGAGGAAAGUGGAAUUCCACGUGUAGCGGUGAAAUGCGUAGAGAUGUGGAGGAACACCAGUGGCGAAGGCGACUUUCUGGUCUGUAACUGACGCUGAGGCGCGAAAGCGUGGGGAGCAAACAGGAUUAGAUACCCUGGUAGUCCACGCCGUAAACGAUGAGUGCUAAGUGUUAGGGGGUUUCCGCCCCUUAGUGCUGCAGCUAACGCAUUAAGCACUCCGCCUGGGGAGUACGGCCGCAAGGCUGAAACUCAAAGGAAUUGACGGGGGCCCGCACAAGCGGUGGAG
Molecule: ribosomal RNA, 544 nt
Filed under: Planococcus sp. HZBN9
Lineage: Bacteria; Bacillati; Bacillota; Bacilli; Caryophanales; Caryophanaceae
Description: bacterial SSU rRNA
Rfam family: Bacterial small subunit ribosomal RNA
Source: RNAcentral